This 439-nucleotide ribosomal RNA is filed under the name uncultured bacterium. RNAcentral describes it as "bacterial SSU rRNA". It matches the Rfam family "Bacterial small subunit ribosomal RNA", at positions 340 to 773 of the family's 1533-position model. The record is from RNAcentral.
UACGGAAGGCAGCAGUGGGGAAUAUUGCACAAUGGGCGCAAGCCUGAUGCAGCCAUGCCGCGUGUAUGAAGAAGGCCUUCGGGUUGUAAAGUACUUUCAGUCGUGAGGAAGGUGUUAAGGUUAAUAACCUUAGCAAUUGACGUUAAGCGACAGAAGAAGCACCGGCUAACUCCGUGCCAGCAGCCGCGGUAAUACGGAGGGUGCGAGCGUUAAUCGGAAUUACUGGGCGUAAAGGGCACGCAGGCGGUUAAUUAAGUUGGAUGUGAAAUCCCCGGGCUUAACCUGGGAAUGGCAUUCAAGCUGGUUAGCUAGAGUCUUGUAGAGGGGGUAGAAUUCCAUGUGUAGCGGUGAAAUGCGUAGAGAUGUGGAGGAAUACCGGUGGCGAAGGCGGCCCCUGGACAAAGACUGACGCUCAUGUGCGAAAGCGUGGGGAGCAAAC